GACGAACGCUGGCGGCGUGCUUAACACAUGCAAGUCGAACGGAAAGGCCCUGCUUUUGUGGGGUUCUCGAGUGGCGAACGGGUGAGUAACACGUGAGUAACCUGCCCUUGUCUUUGGGAUAACUUCAGGAAACUGGGGCUAAUACCCGAUAGGAGCUCCUGCUGCAUGGUGGGGGUUGGAAAGUUUCGGCGGUUGGGGAUGGACUCGCGGCUUAUCAGCUUGUUGGUGGGGUAGUGGCUUACCAAGGCUUUGACGGGUAGCCGGCCUGAGAGGGUGACCGGCCACAUGGGGACUGAGAUACGGCGCAGACGCCUACGGGAGGCAGCAGUGGAGAAUAUGGCACAGUGGGCGGAAGCCUGAUGCAGCAACGCCGCGUGCGGAAUGACGGCCUUCGGGUUGUAAACCGCUUUCGCCUGUGACGAAGCGUGAGUGACGGUAAUGGGUAAAGAAGCACCGGCUAACUACGUG
Molecule: ribosomal RNA, 468 nt
Filed under: uncultured bacterium
Lineage: Bacteria
Description: partial 16S ribosomal RNA
Rfam family: Bacterial small subunit ribosomal RNA
Source: RNAcentral